Molecule: ribosomal RNA, 492 nt
Filed under: uncultured bacterium
Lineage: Bacteria
Description: partial 16S ribosomal RNA
Rfam family: Bacterial small subunit ribosomal RNA
Source: RNAcentral
AGUGAACGCUGGCGGUAGGCCUAACACAUGCAAGUCGAACGGCAGCACAGUAAGAGCUUGCUCUUACGGGUGGCGAGUGGCGGACGGGUGAGGAAUACAUCGGAAUCUACUUUUUCGUGGGGGAUAACGUAGGGAAACUUACGCUAAUACAGCAUACGACCUACGGGUGAAAGCAGGGGAUCUUCGGACCUUGCGCGAUUGAAUGAGCCGAUGUCGGAUUAGCUAGUUGGCGGGGUAAAGGCCCACCAAGGGGACGAUCCGUAGCUGGUCUGAGAGGAGGAUCAGCCACACUGGAACUGAGACACGGUCCAGACUCCUACGGGAGGCAGCAGUGGGGAAUAUUGGACAAUGGGCGCAAGCCUGAUCCAGCCAUACCGCGUGGGUGAAGAAGGCCUUCGGGUUGUAAAGCCCUUUUGUUGGGAAAGAAAAGCAGCAGGUUAAUACCCCGCUGUUCUGACGGUACCCAAAGAAUAAGCACCGGCUAACUUCGUG